Rosa chinensis is the source of this 707-nucleotide long non-coding RNA. RefSeq lists it as uncharacterized. NCBI's taxonomy places the organism in Eukaryota, Viridiplantae, Streptophyta, Magnoliopsida, Rosales, Rosaceae. The record is from RefSeq and is a predicted model, not a curated record. The transcript is spliced from 3 exons.
AAACUAUCCUGUAUAUUUUUUGUUUUGAAUUCCAGUUUGAGGUCCGCUCUCUAUAAAAAGAGCUUUAGGUUCCAUUUGUAAGGCAUCAGAAAAUUGAGUAGAAGAGUCUUCUCUCAAGAAGUAAGAAAGCCAUAGUAAGCAGUGUGCUUUUCCUACCUAUUCAGUGUGCAGUAGUGUGCUUUCAUUACAAGUUAUUGAUAGACGGACUGAUUCAUGAAACUUGGGGUUCUUUUACUAAUCUCCUACCGGUGGAAGCAAUUGAUGCAAUUAAGGUGUACUUACAUGGGCAUUUGCCUAAGUAUAAUUAACUACAAUGAGCCCCGCUCAUACUGCCGCCAGCGGCACCAACAACUAUCGAGGGUGUGACAUAUGGAAACAUAACCAAACAAGCUAUCACCUGAGCUCUGGCUCAUCCCGAGAUCACCGCUGAAGUGCCGAGCCAAGAUCACCACGCUGAAGCAUCAGAAACUGGGGACUAAAACAUAUCAGUCCCACAUCGAAAACAAGGAAGAGAUCAGUCUCUUCCCCACCUAUAAAAGAUAGCAGAAGCAAUAAGGAUAUCACAAGUAGCGGUUCGUCCCCCGAACCAGCGUUGACCAAUGAUCGUCCCUUGAAAUAAUUCAUUCCCCUAAAAAAAGACUUACAUUACUAUCAAUUAAGUCACCAUGUAUUUGUAUCACUAAGUCUCGAAGAAUGACAAAUUUUUU